CUGGUUCGCUCGAAGGAGCGAUUAAAAGGGAACGGGGUGAGAAUCUCCGACUGUCCGGCAGCUGUAAGCCGUCGCGAUGGGCACGAACAAAAUGUCACUGAGGGAAUAUCGGGAAGACGUUCGAUGCCUGACGGCAAAGUCAGAAGACCUGCCUCUUGCCAU
Molecule: non-coding RNA, 162 nt
Filed under: bovine gut metagenome
Source: RNAcentral